RNAcentral lists this ribosomal RNA (115 nucleotides) under Bacillus subtilis. The record is from RNAcentral. RNAcentral also lists the same sequence under 2 other names. Lineage: Bacteria; Bacillati; Bacillota; Bacilli; Caryophanales; Bacillaceae.
UUUGGUGGCGAUAGCGAAGAGGUCACACCCGUUCCCAUACCGAACACGGAAGUUAAGCUCUUCAGCGCCGAUGGUAGUCGGGGGGUUCCCCUGUGAGAGUAGGACGCCGCCAAGC